GGAUGAACGCUAGCUACAGGCUUAACACAUGCAAGUCGAGGGGCAGCAUUUUAGUUUGCUUGCAAACUGAAGAUGGCGACCGGCGCACGGGUGAGUAACACGUAUCCAACCUGCCGAUAACUCCGGAAUAGCCUUUCGAAAGAAAGAUUAAUACCGGAUGGCAUACGAAUAUCGCAUGAUAUUUUUAUUAAAGAAUUUCGGUUAUCGAUAGGGAUGCGUUCCAUUAGUUUGUUGGCGGGGUAACGGCCCACCAAGACUACGAUGGAUAGGGGUUCUGAGAGGAAGGUCCCCCACAUUGGAACUGAGACACGGUCCAAACUCCUACGGGAGGCAGCAGUGAGGAAUAUUGGUCAAUGGGCGAGAGCCUGAACCAGCCAAGUAGCGUGAAGGAUGAAGGCUCUAUGGGUCGUAAACUUCUUUUAUAUGGGAAUAAAGUUUUCCACGUGUGGAAUUUUGUAUGUACCAUAUGAAUAAGGAUCGGCUAACUCCGUGCCAGCAGCCGCGGUAAUACGGAGGAUCCGAGCGUUAUCCGGAUUUAUUGGGUUUAAAGGGAGCGUAGGUGGAUUGUUAAGUCAGUUGUGAAAGUUUGCGGCUCAACCGUAAAAUUGCAGUUGAAACUGGGAGUCUUGAGUACAGUAGAGGUGGGCGGAAUUCGUGGUGUAGCGGUGAAAUGCUUAGAUAUCACGAAGAACUCCGAUUGCGAAGGCAGCUCACUAGACUGUCACUGACACUGAUGCUCGAAAGUGUGGGUAUCAAACAGGAUUAGAUACCCUGGUAGUCCACACAGUAAACGAUGAAUACUCGCUGUUUGCGAUAUACAGUAAGCGGCCAAGCGAAAGCAUUAAGUAUUCCACCUGGGGAGUACGCCGGCAACGGUGAAACUCAAAGGAAUUGACGGGGGCCCGCACAAGCGGAGGAACAUGUGGUUUAAUUCGAUGAUACGCGAGGAACCUUACCCGGGCUUAAAUUGCAACAGAAUAUAUUGGAAACAGUAUAGCCGUAAGGCUGUUGUGAAGGUGCUGCAUGGUUGUCGUCAGCUCGUGCCGUGAGGUGUCGGCUUAAGUGCCAUAACGAGCGCAACCCUUAUCUUUAGUUACUAACAGGUUAUGCUGAGGACUCUAGAGAGACUGCCGUCGUAAGAUGUGAGGAAGGUGGGGAUGACGUCAAAUCAGCACGGCCCUUACGUCCGGGGCUACACACGUGUUACAAUGGGGGGUACAGAAGGCGGCUACCUGGUGACAGGAUGCUAAUCCCAAAAACCUCUCUCAGUUCGGAUCGAAGUCUGCAACCCGACUUCGUGAAGCUGGAUUCGCUAGUAAUCGCGCAUCAGCCAUGGCGCGGUGAAUACGUUCCCGGGCCUUGUACACACCGCCCGUCAAGCCAUGAAAGCCGAGGGUACCUGAAGUACGUAACCGCAAGGAGCGUCCUAGGGUAAAACU
This 1439-nucleotide ribosomal RNA is filed under the name uncultured organism. RNAcentral's name for it is "16S ribosomal RNA". It matches the Rfam family "Bacterial small subunit ribosomal RNA". The record is from RNAcentral.